This 65-nucleotide transfer RNA is filed under the name unidentified. RNAcentral's name for it is "Strongylium pinfaense tRNA-Tyr". The record is from RNAcentral.
GGUAAUGUGGCUGAUUUAGGCGAUAAAUUGUAAAUUUAUUUAUGGGUUGAUAAACCCUUUUACCA